GACGAACGCUGGCGGCGUGCUUUACACAUGCAAGUCGAACGGGGAAGGUGGAGCUUGCUCCGCCGGAUCAGUGGCGAACGGGUGAGUAACACGUGGGCAACCUGCCCCUAACUUUGGGAUAACUACUCGAAAGAGUAGCUAAUACCGGAUAUGAAGUCUGUAGGCAUCUACGGAUUUGGAAAGUUUUUCGGUUAGGGAUGGGCCCGCGGCCUAUCAGCUUGUUGGUGAGGUAGUGGCUCACCAAGGCGACGACGGGUAGCCGGCCUGAGAGGGCGACCGGCCACACUGGGACUGAGACACGGCCCAGACUCCUACGGGAGGCAGCAGUGGGGAAUAUUGCGCAAUGGGCGAAAGCCUGACGCAGCAACGCCGCGUGCGGGAUGAAGGCCUUCGGGUUGUAAACCGCUUUCAGCAGGGAAGAAGCGAAAGUGACGGUACCUGCAGAAGAAGCACCGGCUAACUACGUGCCAGCAGCCGCGGUAA
Molecule: ribosomal RNA, 483 nt
Filed under: uncultured bacterium
Lineage: Bacteria
Description: partial 16S ribosomal RNA
Rfam family: Bacterial small subunit ribosomal RNA
Source: RNAcentral